Molecule: ribosomal RNA, 427 nt
Filed under: uncultured bacterium
Lineage: Bacteria
Description: partial 16S ribosomal RNA
Rfam family: Bacterial small subunit ribosomal RNA
Source: RNAcentral
UGGGGAAUAUUGGACAAUGGGCGAAAGCCUGAUCCAGCCAUGCCGCGUGUGUGAAGAAGGUCUUCGGAUUGUAUAGCACUUUAAGUUGGGAGGAAGGGCAUUAACCUAAUACGUUAGUGUUUUGACGUUACCGACAGAAUAAGCACCGGCUAACUCUGUGCCAGCAGCCGCGGUAAUACAGAGGGUGCAAGCGUUAAUCGGAAUUACUGGGCGUAAAGCGCGCGUAGGUGGUUUGUUAAGUUGGAUGUGAAAUCCCCGGGCUCAACCUGGGAACUGCAUUCAAAACUGACUGACUAGAGUAUGGUAGAGGGUGGUGGAAUUUCCUGUGUAGCGGUGAAAUGCGUAGAUAUAGGAAGGAACACCAGUGGCGAAGGCGACCACCUGGACUAAUACUGACACUGAGGUGCGAAAGCGUGGGGAGCAAACA